This is a long non-coding RNA of Homo sapiens (human), 2508 nucleotides long. Lineage: Eukaryota; Metazoa; Chordata; Mammalia; Primates; Hominidae. The record is from Ensembl.
GGUUUGGCUUGAAAUGUCAUAUUUCAGAAUGUGCAUAGAGGCCAGGGGUGGUGGAUCACACCUGUGAUCCACCUGCCUCGGCCUCCCAAAGUGUUGAGAUUACAGGCAUGAGCCACUGCACCUGGCCUGCUCAGUGACUUCUAACAUUGCUGCUGUACCUGGGUAAAUACUUCCAGUCAUAUUUAAGCGGGCUUGGAGUUGGCAAAAUCUCUGAGAGAGACAUCUUCGGAAAGCCUCCAUGCUGGACUUAGUGGAUAAAGUUUCCAAUGUCCAGAUAUUUUCAGCUGGUUUCUCCUUGGUAUAGGAUUUCUUCUGCAUUCUACCCUGCACAUCUUAAUGAUAACCCUCAUAUUUUGGCUAAGCAUUUGACUCCCCUUUAGAAUUGUUCUAACUUGUUUUUAACAGAUGUCUACAAGAGAUUCCCACCAGGAUCCUGCCCAUGCAAUCUUUGAGACUUUAAACUCACUCCAGCUGGAAAUAGGAACCAACUUAACCCAAGAGACUUUGGUUCACAUUUAACCAGUACUUUCCUGAAUGCCUCUCCUAAGUAAAUGGCUCUAGUUUCUCUAUUGGCCACUGCACUGCCACUAGGAUUCCUGCAAGGGAUCCGAUGGGCCCAGAGCAGGUAGCCAACCACUUCUCUGUUGGAUGGAAUGCAAUGCUGUUUGCCAGCAUGUUUGAGCCAGUCCUUCAAGAUGGAUUCUGAGUGACUAACUGGACCUAAAUUUAAAUAGCACAAAGCAGCCAUUUGCUAACUAGAUUUCAUACAAAUGCUCUGAGUUCCUGGAAAACCCACACUCCUUAACUUUGGGACUUUCAAGACUCACCUAAAUCAAUCAAUUAAAGCUCACUUGUGUCAGCUAAUCAGGGAUCAGCUGUAUUGACUAAUGAAAACUAAGCGAGUUUCAAAUUUUAACCAUUUAUUUGUGUAGAAGACUUGAUUGGGAGCCUGGGUAUGAAUACUUGCUAUAAAAUCUGAGCAUUCCCUUUGUUCUCUGGAGCAAACAAUGUUAAGUUGUUAACUCUCUGUACCUUUCUCUAGAACUGGAUGGAAACAACUCCAUCUGAAAUGCAGCCCUAAUACCAGGGAACUCCUACAGUAAAGCGCUAAACAACUUUAUUACUCUAACCAACGUUUAUGUCCCUAAUCAGCAAGAAGUAGUUAGAAUGGUCAUCAUCCCUUUCCCUCAAGAUUGAGGAAUGGACAUAAAAAGGAGGGGAUUUGUAACUGCUCCAGACUGAUCUGUUGUCAGAAAGGGGCUCUUGAACCAGACCAUGAAAGAGGGUUCUUGGAUCUCCUGCAGGAAGGAAUUCAAGGAGAGUCACAGAGUGUAGAGAGAAUAGACAGUUUAUUGAAAGCUACUCAGUUACAGAGUAGGGCAUCCUCCAAAAGCAGGAGGAGGAAUGUGCUGUCUUUGUUUUAAACUCUUCUUUUAUAGGGGUUUAAUCUAUGUAAAACCUAAGCUAUGUCUACAUGUGGGUAGGCUGUCAGUGUGACAAAAUUUAGUAUUUUGUUGAUAUAAAGAAACUUAUCCUUGUCAUCUUAGUGCAUAAGUACAUCAAAGUAUGACUUUAGCUACCUUAAAAGCAUGUAUUGUUAUGUGAUAUUGGGACAUCUGGACAUUCUGCUGUCGUAGGAGUUUGUCCUUGCAGCAUUACUAAAUCGCUUCCUUAGCUGUAAACAUCUUAUAAUCGUAGGUCAUAACUGUCAAGGAAGUGCCUUGCUAGUUUUUAGAUGGAGUUGAUUUUAAAAUAGUGUCACUCUGGCUUUCCUAUGCUCCUGCUUUCCUAACAAAUCUGGUUCAACUUUUUUUUUUUUUAUUCAACAUAAUCUUUUUUUUCCAUGCUACCUCAUUUACAGAGUGCUUCCUAUAGAUAUGGUUGGUCUGUAUGUUUCAUUUUUCAGCUUUGAUUCUUAUUUUUUUGAAUCACACAUGCUUUAUGGGGGCUUCCACUACCAUGAGCCAUAUUUUCUGUAUUACCAGCAAGAUGUUUGGGUUUGUUUUUUGUUUUCUUUAUAUUUCAAAUUUUAUUUUAGAUUUAGGAAGUACGUGUGCAGGUUUGUUAACAUGGGUGUAUUGCAUGACGCUGAUCUUACAAUACCAAUGAUCCCAUCACUCAGGUAGUGAGCAUAAUAUCCAAUAGGUAGUUUUUCAGAACUUGCCUUAUCUUCCCUCUCUCCCUGCUCUCUUAAUUCGAAGCCUAUUUUUCCUAUCUUUAUGUCCACAUGUUUCCAGCAUUUAGCUCCCACUUAUACGUGAGAGUAUGUGGUAUUUGUUUUUCUGUGUCUGCAUUAAUUUACUUAGGAUGAUGGCUUCCAGCUGCAUCUUUUGUUGCAAAGGACAUGACUUUGUUCUUUUUUAUGACUGUGUAGUAUUCCAUGGUGUAUAUGUACCACAUUUUCUUUAUCCAGAACACUGUUGAUAGGCAUCUACAUUGAUUCCAUGUCUUGGCUAUUGUGAAUAGUGCAGCAAUAAACAUGCAUGGUUCAACUUUUAUGGUAACAAA